GAUGAACGCUGGCGGCGUGCCUAAUACAUGCAAGUCGAGCGAACGGACGAGAAGCUUGCUUCUCUGAUGUUAGCGGCGGACGGGUGAGUAACACGUGGAUAACCUACCUAUAAGACUGGGAUAACUUCGGGAAACCGGAGCUAAUACCGGAUAAUAUUUUGAACCGCAUGGUUCAAAAGUGAAAGACGGUCUUGCUGUCACUUAUAGAUGGAUCCGCGCUGCAUUAGCUGGUUGGUAAGGUAACGGCCUACCAAGGCAACGAUGCAUAGCCGACGUGAGAGGCGGAUCGGCCACCCUGGAACUGAGACACGGUCCAUACUCCUACGGGAGGCAGCAGUAGGGAAUCUUCCGCAAUGGGCGAAAGCCUUACGGAGCAACGCCGCGUGAGUGAUGAAGGUCUUCGGAUCGUAAAACUCUGUUAUUAGUGAAGAACAUAUGUGUAAGUAACUGUGCACAUCUUGACGGUACCUAAUCAGAAAGCCACGGCUAACUACGUG
Molecule: ribosomal RNA, 497 nt
Filed under: uncultured bacterium
Lineage: Bacteria
Description: partial 16S ribosomal RNA
Rfam family: Bacterial small subunit ribosomal RNA
Source: RNAcentral